Long non-coding RNA from Thamnophis elegans (Western terrestrial garter snake), 1645 nucleotides. RefSeq lists it as uncharacterized. The record is from RefSeq and is a predicted model, not a curated record. The transcript is spliced from 4 exons. Lineage: Eukaryota; Metazoa; Chordata; Lepidosauria; Squamata; Natricidae.
GAAUCGUCCUUUCUUGCAUUUGCUCCGACGGUGUGAUACGUCUCCUGGGCGUUUGGGCCUUCGACUCGCCUUGUGGCCGGAGUGACACGCGGCCGCGGCGCCUGCCUUUAUCCCAAAGCCCCAGGACACCGCGGGGGCUUUUGUAUCUUCCCAUGCACUUGACAUCACACACGCUGUGAGACCUACAAUCUUGGGUCUUCCUGAAUGCUGAUUUGUCAAUGGUCCUUGAGAGGGUAAUCAAUUGAGGAAGCUGAAGUUCCCACAGGCUGGAGUGACAUGAGAGGGACAGGAGAAAUGUGCCCUCUUGAUGAGAACCUGGAGGAUACGCUGAGCUAUGCCCUACAAGAGGCAAUCAAGAACCGAAGAGCCUGUGAAACUUUCUCAGAUGGCUACUCGGGAUCCCUGGUUGCCCCAAGUGAAUCUUCCCACACACUUGACACAAUUGCUGUAAAUUCAACAGAAUCAAAAGGGUUUUUUGAAAAAUGAACAGAACGUUCCUGUUUCCAACAUAAGCAACCUAAUGACCAUUAGUGUAAUUGUCCUAUCUCUAAAAUAAUGAGACCCUAUUCCUUCAGUCAAAAAUAGUUGAGAGCACACCACAUAGCUGAUGAUGCUCGAAGAAAGGUGCAAGUGAGGAGGACACCAAUGGAACAUCAAUUUUGAAUCCCAUCAUUGGCAUAUCCAGUCAGCACUGAAAAGCGUGAAGGUUGUGGUAGAGUUGGCUCCUCAGAGUGAAGGUGACACCAUCAAAAGCAGAUGGAAAUAGAAGACAAGUAUUGCAGCAGAGGUGGCCUUAUGUCCUUCAAUUGAACUACCUUUCUCAACAAAUGAGCCCAGGAUUGUUUCUAUUUAGGAGUUUAAGUGGUGGCAGGUCUGACAUGAGGGAUGAAGUGUCCCUGGACGACUACAGUAGAAGUUGACAAAAUCUGCUUUGUCUCAAAGUUCUGGGUCAUGGAAAUGGUGGGAAAGAAGAUUUGCAAAUUCUCGAAUACUUUUCUCAACAAAUGGAGCCCAGGACUGUUUCUAUUUAGGGGUUUAAGUGGUGGGAGAUCUGACACCAGGUUAGGCAGGCCUCCCCCACCCAGGAGGGGUCCCACGCUCUGCUUAAUGACCCACAUGUUCAUUUAACAUUUCAUUGGGAGGAAUAGAAAUGAGGUUAAAUGAUACUGUUAACCUGCUGGGACAGGCAACCUCAACAUGCAAGGCUCCUUUGUAGUUGGAUCUCAAGAGCUACCUGCAUCAGUUGUGCAUUUUUUACUUUUGAGCAGGCAGAAUACCUGCCCUUUGCAUUAAACUCAAAUGCUGCAGGCAGGACAGGAAGGGGGGGGGCUGCUUCUCUGCAGCAGUUACAAAAAUCCACAAACACCUGGUGACAACUGAGUGUUGCUUGGAACAAAGAUUCCAAACAGUAGAUUGAAAUGGGGAAAUAUAUGGAAAUAUAUGGUACUCAGGCUGGCAGAUGAUUUUUUUAAAUAGUUCUAAUGCAUCAAAAUCUUGCAAUGUUUCAGUGAAUGCUGAAUAAUUUUGGCAAGCUUAAAAAGACUAUAUUUUUGAAGAUUUAAUUUUUAGUCAUUUCAUUUUUGCUGCCUUUGGUAUGAACCAUUCCAAUAUAUCUAAUCCUUUGCCACUAAUGAAAUUUUUUAAU